RNAcentral lists this ribosomal RNA (464 nucleotides) under Vreelandella stevensii. RNAcentral's name for it is "partial 16S ribosomal RNA". It matches the Rfam family "Bacterial small subunit ribosomal RNA", at positions 338 to 795 of the family's 1533-position model. The record is from RNAcentral. Lineage: Bacteria; Pseudomonadati; Pseudomonadota; Gammaproteobacteria; Oceanospirillales; Halomonadaceae.
CCUACGGGAGGCAGCAGUGGGGAAUAUUGGACAAUGGGGGGAACCCUGAUCCAGCCAUGCCGCGUGUGUGAAGAAGGCCCUCGGGUUGUAAAGCACUUUCAGUGAGGAAGAACGCCUGGUGGUUAAUACCCAUCAGGAAAGACAUCACUCACAGAAGAAGCACCGGCUAACUCCGUGCCAGCAGCCGCGGUAAUACGGAGGGUGCGAGCGUUAAUCGGAAUUACUGGGCGUAAGCGCGCGUAGGUGGCUUGAUAAGCCGGUUGUGAAAGCCCCGGGCUCAACCUGGGAACGGCAUCCGGAACUGUCAAGCUAGAGUGCAGGAGAGGAAGGUAGAAUUCCCGGUGUAGCGGUGAAAUGCGUAGAGAUCGGGAGGAAUACCAGUGGCGAAGGCGGCCUUCUGGACUGACACUGACACUGAGGUGCGAAAGCGUGGGUAGCAAACAGGAUUAGAUACCCGUGUAGUC